UGAAGCAAAAGGGUGAGCACAACUAGCCCAGUAAAGAAUAUCAUGACUAAAGAUAAUUAAAUUAUCAAUAGCCUUCAUCAGUAAUAAAUCAAAGAUUUAGAACAUAGGGUAUAUGAUAAAAAUUUUCAACCAUAGUUACAGCGGAACGAGCAAUCCAUUAGAAGAGUCAAAUAUACCAUCAGGUCUAUUAUCUCCUCCAUGUUAAAAGUCCACCAAUAAUGUUUUAUCCCUGUAACAUCAAUCAACAAUUUUUGUCCACAAUCAUAUGAAUAACUCAUAAUCAUAAUUGUGAUUCUGAAUUCCUUUUCGCACCUAAGACAAAGAUAAUUUACAUCACCUAUCUUCACCUGAAACAUCAAAAAUCAUGGUUAUACCAAAUCACAAUUCCUGCUCAUAAUCAUACUAAUAAAUUCAUCUUUGCACUACAGCCAAAGAUAUACAACUGUAUAACCAAUAAUCAACAGUUCAUCUUUGCACUACAGGCCAAAGAUAUACAACUGUAAAACCAAUAAUGCUGAGACUCAGCUUAAUAGUAUCACGAC
RNAcentral lists this long non-coding RNA (542 nucleotides) under Panax ginseng (ginseng). RNAcentral describes it as "long non-coding RNA (PGIN_LNC003117)". The record is from RNAcentral. Lineage: Eukaryota; Viridiplantae; Streptophyta; Magnoliopsida; Apiales; Araliaceae.